GGAAAAUCAACCCUGAAGAAAUGAAUGUGAUAUGAGUUCCAGGAACUAACAAUAGCAACAAACGGAUUAUCCCGGCUGUCUUACACGGCAACCCAGGGCUCCAAGAGGGAGAAGUUGGAACCUGCCAUGCCUCCUGAAGAAUAUCACUUCCUCUGUAGUGUAUUGGUCAACAGCCCAGUCCAGAUUCAAGAGGAGAGGACAUAAGCAACACAGGAGCUGCAUGCACAUACCAGGGGGGAGGACUUAUUUGGAGCCAUCUUGGGACCAUAUGGAAGCAGAAUGGAUGCCAGCUCCUACAGGAUUCAAGCCCAGAGGAAAGAGACCUUCCCUCAACAGCCAAACAUCCUGGGCCUGACUCUCAUUUCCAUCCCUGAACCGAACCCCAUGUUCAGGGCAAUGUCCUACCCUGGCCAGGAAGAAUUCACAUGCCCUUUCCUGGAGCUGGAUUGUUGUCAGCCUCACUCAAAGCACAUAUGGAAAGAGUUGGGGGGGUCUCAGAGAAAAACUGGGGAUGCUGUUGCUGGAAGAAACAAGAACAGACGCAGAAAGGCAGAGAGAGGUAAAAGCCCAAGGUCGGCUCUCUGCCAAGCCUCCACCUGCACACACAGACCCCCAGCCAGCUGUGUCUCCCACCCCUUUGAGGUCCUGGUUUCACUCCUAGCGCAUGCAGUCAGGAGAAGGGGCCUCGAUGCCUGAGAAUGUGGGAGAUAGCAGGGGCUCUCCCACUUCAGAGCUUAGACACUCUCACUGAAGACUCGCCUUAGAGAAGUAAUGGGAAGGAGGAAAGGCAGCAAAUCCAUUUAUGUUUUAAGUAUAUGUUAUUUUUUCUAAGAUUAAACCACAUU
Diceros bicornis minor is the source of this 845-nucleotide long non-coding RNA. RefSeq lists it as uncharacterized. The record is from RefSeq and is a predicted model, not a curated record. The transcript is spliced from 3 exons. Lineage: Eukaryota; Metazoa; Chordata; Mammalia; Perissodactyla; Rhinocerotidae.